This 258-nucleotide ribosomal RNA is filed under the name uncultured bacterium. Its description in RNAcentral is "partial 16S ribosomal RNA". It matches the Rfam family "Bacterial small subunit ribosomal RNA", at positions 73 to 334 of the family's 1533-position model. The record is from RNAcentral.
CCCGUCCGGGGCGGGAGUCAGUGGGCGAACGGGUGAGUAACACGUGGGUAACCUGCCCUGAACUCUGGGAUAACUCCGGGAAACCGGGGCUAAUACCGGAUACGACCUUCGAAGGCAUCUUCGCGGGUGGAAAGUUUUUCGGUUCAGGAUGGACCCGCGGCCUAUCAGCUUGUUGGUGGGGUAAUGGCCUACCAAGGCUUUGACGGGUAGCCGGCCUGAGAGGGCGACCGGCCACACUGGGACUGAGACACGGCCCAG